Long non-coding RNA from Dromaius novaehollandiae (emu), 995 nucleotides. RefSeq lists it as uncharacterized. Lineage: Eukaryota; Metazoa; Chordata; Aves; Casuariiformes; Dromaiidae. The record is from RefSeq and is a predicted model, not a curated record. The transcript has 3 exons.
UACUGAGGAAUGUCUUUAUUAUUAUGUUGCCUCAGCAUUCAGAUGCAGGGGUGGAACUGUGGAUGACAACUGAGCAGCUAAAGACAACUUUAUGCUGAUACAAAAACACACAAUUUUCUGAUGAUGACUACUCUGAUGAUGACUAUUAUUAGUCAUGCAAUUCAUCGGUGUCUAAAUUGGCAACAUCACUCUAAUCUCAAGGGUUUAAUGGUCAAAACUGAGUUCAGUAUUACCUGAAGAUCCAGGCAUCCACUUUUGAACGUCAGCUGCUUGAAAGAAGCACAAAAUAUCAAGUAAACAGCAAACUGUAAUCAGGUCUCAAGAAAACAAAAGAUAAACUGCUGGGAAAGAAUACAAGACAACCUUCUGAUUUCCUGCUGAAAUGCUAAGAUCAAAUGGACCAGACUCUGUAAUGAGGAGAAGCACAGGACACAAAGGAAAAAAGCAAAGGAUCAGAUCCACAGCUGCCUUCAUAACUGCCAACAGUGGUACCUAUAUCCUAAACUUAGACCCGAAAAAAACUCAUUUGCCACCAAUUCAUAGAAGCAAGUUUCCAACAGUAAGUUUCUGUAGCCUGAAAAUGCACUUCUGCAAAUGCCUAGAACUGCUUGUGUUGUCAGUGCAUCAUAACUAGAUGCCUAAACUUCAUCAAGGUAUAUUCUCUCAGGGCUUCUCUAUUUACCCUGUAAAAUAAAACCUAGUAGAUACUCAGAAAGUACUAAUAUCUUUCUGCACAAUAUACAUUGAAAAGGUUCUCUUCAUCCCUUCUGUUUGCAUUGCUAUGCUUCACUUAUCUAGGAUAAGACAACAUAUUUUUGUUCCUUUGACUAAAAAACUCUAUUGUCAUGAGUCUCUAUUCUUCUACAAUGUACAAAUAUCUACAUCUUUUUGUAUUUUUGCUGUAGUUUUAUUAAUUUGUAGGGGAAACUGACACAGUCAGAACUUGUUUAUGCUAAAUUUUCAUCUGCCAUGUUCACCUUGCCUGGUGUGCACUU